Molecule: unclassified non-coding RNA, 217 nt
Filed under: plant metagenome
Description: partial contains small subunit ribosomal RNA, internal transcribed spacer 1, and 5.8S ribosomal RNA
Source: RNAcentral
UCUCCGUAGGUGAACCUGCGGAGGGAUCAUUACAAGUGACCCCGGUCUUACCACCGGGAUGUUCAUAACCCUUUAUUGUCCGACUCUGUUGCCUCCGGGGCGACCCUGCCUUCGGGCGGGGGCUCCGGGUGGACACUUCAAACUCUUGCGUAACUUUGCAGUCUGAGUAAACUUAAUUAAUAAAUUAAAACUUUUAACAACGGAUCUCUUGGUUCUG